AGAUUGAUGAGCUGUGCCUCCAAGGAGAACAUCCUCUGAGACCCUGGAUAUUGACCAGUUUUGCUUAUCCUUCGGAAAACUCUUGAUUGUAAAAGUCCUCCUUCCCACGCUCUCUCUCACCUGCCACCAUGUAAGAUGCACCUGCUUCCCUUUCUGGCAUGAUCGCUAGAGGUUGUGCUUCAAUAUAAAGAUCUUGCACUGAAAGGCGAAGAGAUUGAAUUCUGGCUUGUAGAUGGGGCUUGUCAGCCGUCACUGCAACACUUAAGAACCCAUCCACAUCUCUCUUGUCUCAGAGAAGAUUGACUUUCAUCUACCAUUUC
Molecule: long non-coding RNA, 320 nt
Filed under: Homo sapiens (human)
Lineage: Eukaryota; Metazoa; Chordata; Mammalia; Primates; Hominidae
Description: HSALNT0201349
Source: RNAcentral